AAAUCGCUACUCAGUUGUAAAGAUAGAGAUUACAGAAUUGGUAAUCAAACGAAUCACCAUCAAAGACUGACAAAAAAUAUAAAUUAGGUAUAUGUUAGUCAUAAAAUCCCUAUCAGAAGAUAAACCCAAUCUUCAGGAUAGUGGUAAAUCAUAAAAAUCAUAUAAUUGUUGACAUGUGGUGGUAUGUGGGAUUGCUAUUUUUAUCCAAAGCAUGCCACAAUCUGUGAAACAAUCGAAAUAGUCAAAUCACACCUCAAAAUUCCUCGAUUCAAACCAAACGAAAAACACACCAAAACUAAGGUAGAGUUGAAAGAACCAAUAAUUAGGAAUAUAUNNNNNNNNNNNNNNNNNNNNNNNNNNNNNNNNNNNNNNNNNNNNNNNNNNAUAUAUAUAUAUAUAUAUAUAUAUCACUGGGAGAAAAAAAACCACAAACAUAAAAAAAAAAAACCAAACCCCUGCUAGCAUACAGGAAAUCAAUAAUCAAACGAAUCACCAACAAAGACCGACAAAAAAUAUAAAUUAGGUAUAUGUUAGUCAUAAAAUCUCUAUCAGAAGAUAAACUCAGUCUUCAGGAUAGUGGUAAAUCAUACAAAUCAUAUAACUGGUAGAACAAUUCAACUCUUAGCAUUAAACUAUAACAGUAGUUUGCAAUUUUAUGACCUUACAAUUUUAUUGGCAUACUCACAUAUUCAAUAUGUGAAACAAUCGAAACGGCCAAAUCACACCUCGGAAUUCCUCGAUUCAAACCAAACGAAAAACACACCAAAACUAAGGUAGAGUUGAAAGAACCAAUAAUCAGGAAAAUAUAUAUAUAUAUAUAUAUCACUUGGAGAAAAAAAAAACCACAAACAUAAAAAAAACCAAACCCCUGGAAAUCAAUAACAAUUGACAACGGAUUCCCAACAUUAUUACCCUAAAGAAUUCCCAGAUUAUUGACAAUUUCAUAACCUAACAACAAACAAAACUCAAACAUAAUCUCCACCACAGCAAAAGAAAUCGAAACAUAAAUGGAGAAUAUGGCAUCGGAUUAUUUAAAAGAAGUACCUCUUUGGUUUAUACUAAGUGACGAUAGAAGAAAUCCAGACGACGCAAAGCAAAAUCGAAUGUUUUAAAAGGUCACUGAGACUUUUAAAAGUUAUUUUCUACAUACUCUUGUUCUACAUUCACUUCUUCAUCAGCAUCAGAAUCAUCCUCAAAGGACAACUUCAUGGAAUUCAUAAACUUCAAUCACAAUCCGAUAAAUAUAAUGUGUAUAAAUAAUAAA
RNAcentral lists this long non-coding RNA (1264 nucleotides) under Trifolium pratense (red clover). RNAcentral describes it as "long non-coding RNA (TPRA_LNC004243)". Lineage: Eukaryota; Viridiplantae; Streptophyta; Magnoliopsida; Fabales; Fabaceae. The record is from RNAcentral.